CUAUUCCAUGGUUCCGUGCCGCAGUAACGCAUUAAGCGCCCCGCCUGGGGAGUACGGCCGCAAGGUAAAACUCAAAGAAUUGACGGGGGCCCGCACAAGCGGCGGAGCAUGCGGAUUAAUUCGAUGCAACGCGAAGAACCUUACCUGGGUUUGACAUACACCGGAAGCCUGCAGAGAUGUGGGUCUCUUUGAUACUGGUGUACAGGUGGUGCAUGGCUGUCGUCAGCUCGUGUCGUGAGAUGUUGGGUUAAGUCCCGCAACGAGCGCAACCCUCGUCCUAUGUUGCCAGCGGGUAAUGCCGGGGACUCAUAGGAGACUGCCGGGGUCAACUCGGAGGAAGGUGGGGAUGACGUCAAGUCAUCAUGCCCCUUAUGUCCAGGGCUUCACGCAUGCUACAAUGGCCGGUACAAAGGGCUGCGAUGCCGCGAGGCGGAGCGAAUCCCAAAAAGCCGGUCUCAGUUCGGAUUGGGGUCUGCAACUCGACCCCAUGAAGUCGGAGUCGCUAGUAAUCGCAGAUCAGCAACGCUGCGGUGAAUACGUUCCCGGGCCUUGUACACACCGCCCGUCACGUCACGAAAGUCGGCAACACCCGAAGCCGGUGGCCUAACCCCUUGUGGGAGGGAGCCGUCG
RNAcentral lists this ribosomal RNA (630 nucleotides) under Nocardioides sp. T32102BY2. RNAcentral describes it as "SSU rRNA". It matches the Rfam family "Bacterial small subunit ribosomal RNA", at positions 828 to 1458 of the family's 1533-position model. Lineage: Bacteria; Bacillati; Actinomycetota; Actinomycetes; Propionibacteriales; Nocardioidaceae. The record is from RNAcentral.